CAAGUCUGUUAUUACCCAAGUCCAUGAAUUACAAGUGAUUAUUCAUGAUCUACUUGCUGAAGGUCUUGUCAUCAAUGAGGCAUUCCAAGUAGCAGCAAUAAUUGAAAAGUUGCCUCCAUUGUGGAAGGACUU
Non-coding RNA from Nicotiana tabacum (common tobacco), 132 nucleotides. The record is from RefSeq and is a predicted model, not a curated record. NCBI's taxonomy places the organism in Eukaryota, Viridiplantae, Streptophyta, Magnoliopsida, Solanales, Solanaceae.